GGUAGCAUAAUCAUUAGUCUUUUAAUUGGAGACUGGUAUGAAUGGCUAAACGAGAAAUCUUCUUUUUUUAUUAUAAAUAUCGAAUUUAUUUUUUUAGUGAAAAAACUAAAAUAUUCCUGAAAGACGAGAAGACCCUAUAGAGUUUUAUAUAGUAAACUAUCAUAUUGUAUUAGAUCUGAUUCGAUUUGAUUUUAUUCUGUAAUUUGUUGGGGCGACAUUAAGAUAAAAAAAACUCUUUUUUAUAAAACUUUGAUAAAUGAAUAACUUGAUCCUUUAAAAAAGAUAAUAAGAAUAAAAUUACCUUAGGGAUAACAGCGUAAUCUUUUUUGAGAGUUCUAAUCGACAAAA
This 348-nucleotide ribosomal RNA is filed under the name Chthamalus challengeri. RNAcentral's name for it is "partial 16S ribosomal RNA". The record is from RNAcentral. Lineage: Eukaryota; Metazoa; Arthropoda; Thecostraca; Balanomorpha; Chthamalidae.